This is a long non-coding RNA of Sinocyclocheilus anshuiensis, 357 nucleotides long. RefSeq lists it as uncharacterized. The transcript has 3 exons. Lineage: Eukaryota; Metazoa; Chordata; Actinopteri; Cypriniformes; Cyprinidae. The record is from RefSeq and is a predicted model, not a curated record.
CAGACGCUGCUGACCAGAUUCUGAGGUCAAACCUUAUUGGAUUCCAGGUGGGUUUGUGACUGCAGGGCAGUGCAGCGGUUUGAGCGGCGAGGUCGAGCUUUAAAGGACGAGGCGGUCAGAAAUAAUCAGAAACAGCAGAGUGAUGGCCAGUCGUUUAGACUCCAGCAUCAGCGGGUCGGAGGUCCAGAAGAAAAAGGAACAAAUUGAAGAGGCCAAAAAAGAGCUGAAGGAAGCGAAGAAAGCGCAUAAAGACGCUCAGUCUGACAAAUCCAAGAAGUAAGGAGUCUUUUAAAUGCUCCUGGACUCAAGGUUAGAGCCGAUGAUCCUCUGCCAGCAGCGUUUGUGCUGUAAAAGCAU